This 71-nucleotide transfer RNA is filed under the name Phymatostetha punctata. RNAcentral describes it as "tRNA-Lys". RNAcentral also lists the same sequence under 5 other names. The record is from RNAcentral. Lineage: Eukaryota; Metazoa; Arthropoda; Insecta; Hemiptera; Cercopidae.
CAUUAAGUGACUGAAUGCAAGUAAUGGUCUCUUAAACCACAUAAUAGUAAAUUAGCAAUUACUCUUAAUGA